AUUGAACGCUGGCGGCAGGCCUAACACAUGCAAGUCGAGCGAGCGGCGGACGGGUGAGUAAUGUCUGGGAAACUGCCUGCUGGAGGGGGAUAACUACUGGAAACGGUAGCUAAUACCGCAUACCAUCAGAUGUGCCCAGAUGGGUUUCGAGAGUAGGUGGGGUAAUGGCUCACCUAGGCGACGAUCCCUAGCUGGUCUGAGAGGAUGACCAGCCACACUGGAACGUAGACACGGUCCAGACUCCUACGUGAGGCAUCAGUGGGGAAUAUUGCACAUUGGGCGCAAGCCUGAUGCAGCCAUGCCGCGUGUAUGAAGAAGGCCUUCGGGUUGUAAAGUACUUUCAGCGAGGAGGCGUUACUCGCAGAAGAAGCACCGGCUAACUCCGUGCCAGCAGCCGCGGUAAUAC
Molecule: ribosomal RNA, 406 nt
Filed under: uncultured bacterium
Lineage: Bacteria
Description: partial 16S ribosomal RNA
Rfam family: Bacterial small subunit ribosomal RNA
Source: RNAcentral